AGUGGCGAACGGGUGAGUAACGCGUGAGUAUCUGCCCUUAGGAGGGGGACAACAGUUGGAAACGACUGCUAAUACCCCAUAUGUCUACGGAUGAAAGAUUUUAUCGCCUGAGGAUGAACUCGCGUCUGAUUAGCUAGUUGGUGAGGUAAUGGCUCACCAAGGCGACGAUCAGUAGCUGGUCUGAGAGGAUGAUCAGCCACACUGGGACUGAGACACGGCCCAGACUCCUACGGGAGGCAGCAGUGGGGAAUUUUCCGCAAUGGGGGCAACCCUGACGGAGCAAUACCGCGUGCGGGAGGACGGCCUGUGGGUUGUAAACCGCUUUUCUCAGGGAAGAAGACCUCACGGUACCUGAGGAAUCAGCAUCGGCUAACUCCGUGCCAGCAGCCGCGGUAAUACGGAGGAUGCAAGCGUUAUCCGGAAUUAUUGGGCGUAAAGCGUCCGUAGGUGGUUAAUCAAGUCUGCUGUUAAAGAGCGGAGCUUAACUCCGUUUAAGCGGUGGAAACUGGUUGACUAGAGAGUGGUAGGGGUAGAGGGAAUUCCCAGUGUAGCGGUGAAAUGCGUAGAUAUUGGGAAGAACACCGGUGGCGAAAGCGCUCUACUGGGCCACAUCUGACACUGAUGGACGAAAGCUAGGGGAGCGAAAGGGAUUAGAUACCCC
RNAcentral lists this ribosomal RNA (661 nucleotides) under uncultured bacterium. RNAcentral describes it as "bacterial SSU rRNA". It matches the Rfam family "Bacterial small subunit ribosomal RNA", at positions 94 to 788 of the family's 1533-position model. The record is from RNAcentral.